This 1817-nucleotide ribosomal RNA is filed under the name human gut metagenome. RNAcentral describes it as "bacterial LSU rRNA". It matches the Rfam family "Bacterial large subunit ribosomal RNA", at positions 1093 to 2925 of the family's 2925-position model. The record is from RNAcentral.
CUCGGAGAUGUGUAUAAGAGACAGCAGCCACACAUUCAAAGAGUGCGUAAUAGCUCACUGGUCGAGUGAUCCAGCGCCGAAAAUGUAACGGGGCUAAAACGCGACACCGAAGCAGCGGGAUGCGUAAGCAUCGGUAGAGGAGCAUUGUGUGAGGGUUGAAGCCAGAGCGGGAGCACUGGUGGACUUCACAGAAGAGAGAAUGCCGGUAUGAGUAGCGAGACCCAUGCGAGAAACAUGGGCGUCGAAGGCCCAAGGUUUCCUGGGGAAGGUUCAUCCACCCAGGGUAAGUCGGGACCUAAGCCGAGGACUGAGGUCGUAGGCGAUGGACAGCAGGUAGAGAUUCCUGCACCACUUACACUUGUUUGACGAAGCAGUGACACAGAAGGAUAGGACGAGCGCGGUGAUGGUCAACCGCGUAGGCGGCACGAGGCCGGGAAGCAGUGAAGUACACUUCCCGCAAAGGCUGAGUGUUGACAGGACCGAAAAGAAGUAGGGAAGCGUCCGAGUUCACGCUGGCGAGAAAAGCUGCUAAGGAGAGUGUGAGUGCCCGUACCGGAAACCGACGCAGGUGGGCGAGGAGAGAAUCCUGAGACGGACGGGAGAACUCUUGUUAAGGAACUCGGCAAAAUGACCCCGUAACUUCGGGAGAAGGGGUGCCUCGAAAGAGGCCGCAGAGAAUAGUCACAAGCGACUGUUUAGCAAAAACACAGGUAUCUGCGAAAGCGAGAGCUGACGUAUAGGUGCUGACGCCUGCCCGGUGCUGGAAGGUUAAGGGGAAGUGUUAGGGGAAACCCGAAGCAGAGAACCGAAGCCCCAGUAAACGGCGGCCGUAACUAUAACGGUCCUAAGGUAGCGAAAUUCCUUGUCGGGUAAGUUCCGACCCGCACGAAUGGCGUAACGACUUGUGAGCUGUCUCAACAGGAGGCCCGGUGAAAUUGAAGUAUGUGUGAAGAUGCACAUUACCCGCGACUGGACGGAAAGACCCCGUAGAGCUUUACUGUAACCUGACAUUGGAUCUUGAUAACGGAUGCACAGGAUAGGUGGGACGCUGGGAGACGAGGACUUUGGUUUUCGUGGAGCGGCCGUUGGGAUACCACUCUUCUGUUAUUGAGAUUCUAACCUCAAGCCGUGAGCCGGAUGAGAGACAGUGUCAGGCGGACAGUUUGACUGGGGCGGUCGCCUCCGAAAGAGUAACGGAGGCGCCCAAAGGUACCCUCAGAAUGGAUGGAAACCAUUCGAAGAGAGCAAAGUCAGAAGGGUGCUUGACUGCGAGACCAACAAGUCGAGCAGGUACGAAAGUAGGGCUUAGUGAUCCGGCGGUAAGAGAGUGGAAUUGCCGUCGCUCAACGGAUAAAAGCUACCUCGGGGAUAACAGGCUGAUCUCCCCCAAGAGUCCACAUCGACGGGGAGGUUUGGCACCUCGAUGUCGGCUCAUCGCAUCCUGGGGCUGUAUUCGGUCCCAAGGGUUUGGCUGUUCGCCAAUUAAAGCGGCACGCGAGCUGGGUUCAGAACGUCGUGAGACAGUUCGGUCCCUAUCCAUCGUGGGCGAAGGACACAUGAGAGGAGCUGCUCCUAGUACGAGAGGACCGGAGUGGACGCAUCACUGGUGCAACUGUUGUCGUGCCAACGGCACAGCAGGGAAGCGAAAUGCGGACGGGAUAAACGCUGAAGGCAUCUAAGCGUGAAGCCCACCUCAAGAAUAAGUGUCCCAUUCGAAAGAAGUAAGACCCCUGGAAGACUACCAGGUGAUAGGUCAUCGGUGAAAGAGUGGUAACAUUUGGAGCUUGAUGAUACUAAUCGGUCGAGGACUUGAUCUA